UAAGGAAUAUUGGUCAAUGGACGAAAGUCUGAACCAGCCAUCCCGCGUGCAGGAUGAAGGUCCUAUGGAUUGUAAACUGCUUUUAGCAGAGAAGAAAAGCAUUCAUUUAUGAGUGUCUGACGGUAUCUGCGGAAUAAGCACCGGCUAACUCCGUGCCAGCAGCCGCGGUAAUACGGAGGGUGCAAGCGUUAUCCGGAAUCACUGGGUUUAAAGGGUGCGUAGGCGGAAUAUUAAGUCAGUGGUGAAAGCCUGUCGCUUAACGAUAGAACUGCCAUUGAUACUGAUAUUCUUGAAUUGGGUUGAGGUUAGCGGAAUGUGACAUGUAGCGGUGAAAUGCAUAGAUAUGUCAUGGAACACCAAUUGCGAAGGCAGCUAGCUGGGCCUUGAUUGACGCUGAGGCACGAAAGCGUGGGUAGCGAACAGG
RNAcentral lists this ribosomal RNA (424 nucleotides) under uncultured bacterium. RNAcentral describes it as "bacterial SSU rRNA". It matches the Rfam family "Bacterial small subunit ribosomal RNA", at positions 355 to 776 of the family's 1533-position model. The record is from RNAcentral.